AGAGUUUGAUCCUGGCUCAGGAUGAACGCUGGCGGUAUGCUUUACACAUGCAAGUCAUACGGGAGUUAGUUUCGGCUAACUUCAGUGGCGGACGGGUGAGUAACACGUGAGAAUUCGCCUUUAGGAGGGGGAUAACAGGGGGAAACACCUGCUAAAACCCCAUAUGCCUUCGGGUCAAAAGAGUAAUCUGCCUAAAGAGAAGCUCGCGGCUGAUUAGCUAGUUGGUGGGGUAAAGGCCUACCAAGGCGACGAUCAGUAGCUGGUCUGAGAGGACGAUCAGCCACACUGGAACUGAAACACGGUCCAGACUCCUACCGGAGGCAGCAGUGAGGAAUUUUCUGCAAUGGGCGAAAGCCUGACAGAGCAAUACCGCGUGAGGGAAGAAGGCUUACUGAGUUGUAAACCUCUGUUACCUAAAGAGGAAGAUCUGACGUUACUUAGGAGACGAAACAUCGGCUAACUCCGUGCCAGCAGCCGCGGUAAGACGGAGGAUGCAAGUGUUAUCCCGAAUUACUGGGCGUAAAGCGUCUGCACGUGGUUUUUUAAGUCCACUGUUAAACCUUGAGGCUUAACCUCAAUUCAGCAUUGGAAACUGGGAAACCUUGAGUUUAGUGGGGUAGGAGGGAUUUUCCAGGGGAGCGUUGAAUGUGCGUAAAUAUGGAAAGGACCACGGAGGGGGGAAGCCACUUCUGGGGGGUUAUUACGGACAUUCAAGAGACGAAAGUUAGGGGGAGCAAUGGGGAUUGGAUCCCCCAGUAGUCCUAGCGGUAAACGAUGGAUACUCGAUGUGGGGGUAUCGACCCGUCCAGUGUCUUAGCUAACGCGUAAAGUAUCCCGCGUGGGGAGUACGCUCGCAAGAGUGAAACUCAAAGGAUUUGACGGGGGCCCGCACAAGCGGUGGAGGAUGUGGUUUAUUUCGAUGCAACGCGAAGACCCUUACCAGGAUUUGCUAUAAGUGAGGUUUCUUGAAAAGGGAACUUCUAUCUGUUUAUACAGGUGGGCCAGGGCUGUCGUCAGCUCGUGUCGUGAGAUGUUGGGUUAAGUCCCGCAACGAGCGCAACCCUUGUUUCUAGUUCAUUUGUCUAGAAAGACUGCCGGUGACAAACCGGAGGAAGGUGAGGACGACGUCAAGUCAUCAUGCCCCUUACAUCCUGGGCUACACACGUCCUACAAUGGGUGAGACAAUAAGUUGCCAACCUGCGAAGGUGAGCUAAUCUUUGAAACUUACUCUAAGUUCGGAUUGCAGGCUGCAACUCGCCUGCAUGAAGGUGGAAUCGCUAGUAAUCGCUGGUCAGCUACACAGCGGUGAAUUCGUUCCCGGGCCUUGUACACACCGCCCGUC
This 1342-nucleotide ribosomal RNA is filed under the name uncultured bacterium. RNAcentral describes it as "bacterial SSU rRNA". It matches the Rfam family "Bacterial small subunit ribosomal RNA". The record is from RNAcentral.